Molecule: non-coding RNA, 141 nt
Organism: Xenopus laevis (African clawed frog)
Lineage: Eukaryota; Metazoa; Chordata; Amphibia; Anura; Pipidae
Source: Rfam
AUUCCCAUUUUAGUACCGCUUUUUUCGUUUCUCCAAAUAAGCGGCUAUGCUAAUGGGAAAGAAUAAGCUCUCUGCUAUAGUCUGAAGGGGAAUGUGAAAUGUAUGUAACUUCUUCUACAUGAAAUGGCAGAACAGAAAUGG